AUCUGAGGUCUUCUAUAGCUAGACUGAGAACAAACUUGCCUGCACUGCAUAUAUCUGUAGGAACAGUCAGGCUGGAACAACGACAGGAAAUAUCACGGAGAUUCAAACUACUUAGGCUUGGACAAGGAUCCUAUCAAAGCCUUCCUUCCUUUAACAGUGUAUUUGUGGUGAAGAAAGAUCUCCCUUGUGUGGAGUCAUGGAUUUUUCUGAGCUAUGCUUGAACCAUCCUGCUUCUGAUGAAUGUUUUGUAGAGCUGGUCCUUGAUAGGAAUCCCUGAAUGGCUCCAGGCCCUUUCACUUGGAGCAGUACCGCCUCUAGCACUGCUGUGCACAGUUGCAUGUGAUUUUAGAGGAAAUAAAAUCUGUAU
Molecule: long non-coding RNA, 367 nt
Organism: Gallus gallus (chicken)
Lineage: Eukaryota; Metazoa; Chordata; Aves; Galliformes; Phasianidae
Source: Ensembl